Polistes canadensis is the source of this 3510-nucleotide long non-coding RNA. RefSeq lists it as uncharacterized. The transcript has 2 exons. The record is from RefSeq and is a predicted model, not a curated record. Lineage: Eukaryota; Metazoa; Arthropoda; Insecta; Hymenoptera; Vespidae.
CUCGACCAUUUCCUCUAUCGUUGGACAACAGUCGACUGCGAGGCCAUCUUCGCCUCCCUCCUGGCGUAGAACCAUCUGCAUCUCUCGGCUCCAUGACUACGAUGAGCAACCGUGAUAAUAGGAGAAGGGCGUCCAUUCGGCAAUAUCUCCUUUCGUGGCUAAAAACCUUUCUGGAUUCUCUAGAAGCAUACAUGUAAGAAGAAGAAAAAGAGCUAGAGUGGAGAGAGAGAGAGGGAGAGAGAGAGAUCGAACCUUAUGCAAAUGCAGCUGAGUACAAACGAUCCUGUGAAAUCUUUACAAGUAUGGCUUAACUUUAACUUUAACUUACCAUAAGGUAAGCGAACGACUACCGACGAUAAUGGGCGAAAGACAACGCGACUAACACAAAUGGCAAACCGCAAUGGAAAUUACCGGUUAACAUGUCAUUAUCUGCCAAUACCUUUUACGUUUAUCGCAGAUAAUACGUAUUCGCGAAUUAUUUCAACUUUUUUCUUUAAUAUACUUUAUAUGUUCAAAUUUACUUUAAUCGAUAUUUGAAUAUUUUUUUUUUAUUAUUAUUAGGUUAAAUUUGAUCAAACUUUGUAUUAUCCGUAACAAAUUUCGUUAGAUAUUAUUUGUCAUACGUUCUUGAAUCAAGAAGAAAAAUAAGAAGAAACGUCAAACACGACAAAACGAUUCCGAGAUUCGUUUAUACAGCUAUCAUCAAGGAUCGCGGAGAGUUCGCGUGGGUAGAGACACGAUAGAUGGGUUAGGAUAUACUCGUACACUACGGUGCUUUUGAAAUCGAUAUAGUGGCAAAGCUUUGCUAGAAAAUAUGGAAUAAAUCAUGGAAACGGAAUACGUCGUUGAAGGUAAACACGAAUGGUAAGAUUCUUAUCGACUAUCGUAGAUCUUUCUCGUCGAUCCAUUUAUAUAUAUAUAUACGAAUUGAAAAUUUUCGUACGUUCGUAGGGAAUAAUCGUGAAAGAUCUAGUGGUAUCGUUUCGCGACUAGUUUCGGUAUCGGAAUGCAAUAUCGCUCCUACGAUCUCUCUCAUCUCGAAAAACGGGAUCACAUUUUACAGCUGCUGCGCUACAUCCUGCUGGUGCUGUUGCACGUUUGCCUAUUAGGUUCGGUUCGGUUCUUCAACCACGCAGAAAAGAAGAAUUUUCCAGGAAACGCGUGGAUGAUUUAAAGAGCAAUUGUCGAUCGUCGGAUGGGACAAUUUCUCGGGAAUUAUCGUCUCGUAAGUUUGUACCAGAAAGGAUGCGGAAAAACAGGUCGGAUUCGAUCGUUCGAAAUCGCGUUAAGGAGAUUAUUUAUUGGAAAAUAUUGGUGCCGAGAGAACGAUUAGCAUGCUAAUGCCGUUCUACCGUUCACCUUAUUCGCUCGUUCAUAGGUGCAACUUGGUAGAUACCUACAUAUAUAUAUAUAUAGCAGCCACGGGUGUCAGCUAAUCUGCCAUUAUUAAAUUAUCCAUGCGCGCACCAUCGAGACGACGAUGAUCGUCGUUUAUCAAUAUCGUUUGCUAUACGCAAAUGCGUCCCCGGCUACUAAUACUACCGAUCUUUUACAUCUAUACGUUAGCAUUUAAUAUAACAUAGAUAACAUCAAGUACCUUAUACGAGUGACGAUAAGGAUACCUGUUCAUUUUUUAUACUAAGAUCGCCAACAGUGUGAAUCUCGCAUAUACUUCUUUAUACAGGAUCUCUUUUUUUCCUUACGUUUAAUUCCAUACGUCCCAACAUAGAAUUUUUUCCCAAUUUACUCGAUGAUAAAUCGAAAUAGAUAGAUUUAGAUCGGUAUCGAUAUUGUUUCUAAACAAACCGUUAGUUUAAGCUACUUUCUUUCCUGAUUUGUAAGACGUUCAUUUUGCAAAUUGUAAUCCGUACUUUCUCGAUCAGCGAUCAAUUCUCCUUUUUUGAGAUUACAAUAGACAUUUCUAUUGUUCGUUCCGUUUGAUCAAAAUCAAGGUCUAGUUCGUUGUUUCGUAUUGGAGUUUAUUCGAAAGACGACAAAAAUCGGUUUAAGAUUAGAAAACUUGAAAACAAAAGGAUAUAAUAAAAAUAAAUAUUUCUUUAACAUCGUGCCUCCGUAAUUGUUAAGUCUUGCAUCCAAAGUAUUAAAUUUAUGUACUUGCGAGUACACAUCCUUGAGCUACUACGACCUGGAUGCUUGAGAAAGAUCAAAGCUACAUUAUCUCGAGAGAAGUUUCGUGGGGAAAAUAUUUUGAGUUGGAGAGAAACUCGUGGCAGGUGUCUCAUACGAGAUUACUACGAGGUGCUCGUCGGGAGUCGGAGCUAACUAACUUCAAAAAGUCGACUUUGAGAAAAUGUGAUGAGGACGACACCCAACCGCGUGGAGAGGAAAGAUAUAAAGAAAGAAAAAUCGUAUACGCGAGCUCUAGUGAAAGAGAAGAUAAAAAAGAAAAAUAAAAUGAAAGAGAAAGAGGACCAAAGAUAGUCGUCGUAUCGAAACCAUAAUUUCGAAAGUUUAUCGGUGCGUUCAUGACAGGGACCAAAAGGUUCAUCGUGUGUUUGCUGCGCGCGUGUAUUCGUAUGAAGAAAGAAACUAUAUAAGCUCUUGAAAAGUAAGCACUUAUAGUUCUAUUCAUGUAAAUUCGUUUAAAACGUUUGCAACCCUGACGCAACGCAAUUCAAUACAACGCAACGUAACGCAACGCCGGCGAGAAGUAAUCGUGUAAGACAGCUCGAUAAUAUGCUAAUAAUACUCUCAACGGGCGGUAAUUUAUGCUCAUUAUAUCCGGCCUGGAUAUUGUAAUUAUUGUUUCGUUCAAUGUGCUUACCUGUUAGGUAUAUCCUAUACAAUAGUCACGUUAAGGGGCGUGCACGAGGCGUUUAUUGUUUCAUUAAAACACCGACGUAACCUACUCGAUUUACAGAAGUGAUAGGGAUAGAUAAUAAUAGAAGAUUGCUUGCGGCCACCACCGAUUACUUUUAAUAAUUAAUUUACGCGAUAUUAAAUAUAUCAUUUUGUUUAAAUAACGGUCUAGAUAUAUAUAUCACGAAAUGAUUUGUAAACGUGAUUAGAAGCCUCGUUGGAAUUCGUUCCAUUUCUAUAUAUAAUUCUCAAUAACUCGAGAAAUAUUUUAUCGUUAAUACGAUCGAUAUAGAUAAAAAGAUAAUGAGAAAGAAAAGAAAAAAUAAUCAUAAUAAUAAAGUAGAGACUUCUUACCGCGACGAGGGCGCUGAGAGCUUCAAUUCGCAUAGUAGCUGGCCAGGCCAGCGGGGAGGCCGUAGGUUCCAAGCUGUUGGAUCGAAUUCACGUAUCGAUCCUCGAUUGUUAUUAUCAAAUUGUGAUCUUGUUUUUCUUGCGAUUUCACUCGGUUAGAAAUACGAUGAUGCCCGGCGGCCGAUAAUCCGUUUCUCCUGGCUCCUCCACUUCGAUUUCUUGUGGUCCGCCGUUUGGUUGAUUGGGUGACAUGGCUACCACCACCGCACCACCGAUCUAAAAAAAAAAACAAUCUUUUUUAUCUUACGUAAGGUGAACAAAUAAACGAUGAUAACGAUA